UCUGUGCUAUUGGGAUUCGAUUACCCAUCGAGUCGAGAGUGUUCCGCCAUGUCCUGACGAUCAGUGACACGUGGAUAAUCUGCCCUUAGGUGAGGAUACCUCGGGAGCUGAGAAUAAACUACAUAGGCCUAGGAUGGUGGAAUGCACGGAGUCUCAAAGUUCCGGCGCCUUAGGCUGAGUAUGCGGACUAUCAUGUUGUCGUCAGGGUAAUGACCUGACUAGCGUACUACGGAUCAAGAAUGUGAGACCAAUAACCCGGAGCAGAUAUGUGAGUCUCGCUAUCAGGCCAUGCGGGGCGCAGCAGGCGCGAAAACUUCACAAUGCGCGAAAGCGCGAUGAGGGAAUCCCAAGUUCUUGCAAGUAAGUGUAAGCUGUUUUUAUGUCUAAAAAGCAUAGAGAGUAAGGGCUGGGUAAGACGGGUGCCAGCCGCCGCGGUAAUACCCGCAGCUCAAGUGGUGGCCGUUUUUAUUGGGCCUAAAACGUCCGUAGCCGGUCCAAUAAAUGCCCGGGUAAAUCGUGCAGCUUAAUUAUAGGAAUUCCGGGUAAACUGUUAAACUUGAGACCGGGAGAAGUUAGAGGUACUCCUGGGGUAGAGGUGAAAUUCUGUAAUCCUAGGGGGACCACCGGUGGCGAAGGCGUCCAACUAGAACGGGUCUGACGGUGAGGGACGAAGCCCUGGGGCGCAAACCGGAUUAGAUACCCGGGUAGUCCAGGGUGUAAACGCUGCUCGCUUGAUGUUGGUUGGCCUCCGAGCCCAAUCAGUGUCGGAGAGAAGUUGUUAAGCAAGCUGCCUGGGAAGUACGGUCGCAAGAUUGAAACUUAAAGGAAUUGGCGGGGGAGCACAGCAACGGGUGGAGCGUGCGGUUU
This 867-nucleotide ribosomal RNA is filed under the name uncultured archaeon. RNAcentral's name for it is "bacterial SSU rRNA". It matches the Rfam family "Archaeal small subunit ribosomal RNA", at positions 24 to 903 of the family's 1478-position model. The record is from RNAcentral.